Non-coding RNA from Microcebus murinus (gray mouse lemur), 872 nucleotides. The record is from RefSeq and is a predicted model, not a curated record. NCBI's taxonomy places the organism in Eukaryota, Metazoa, Chordata, Mammalia, Primates, Cheirogaleidae.
GAUACAGGAAAUACGGUAAGAGCGAACCGGGAAGAAGCCAGCUCUGUGCCUGGAGGGGACCCGCCGCCAUCUCAGGUCUCUAGGCCUUGCCAGGGCCCACCGGAGAAAACUGACGCCCAGAAUCUAUAAUCCUUAUGGGGGACCAACCUUGUGCCUCCGGUAGAUCCACGCUCCCACCUGGAAACACGCGGGAAGCCAAACCUCCAAAAAAGCGCUGCCUCCUUGCUCCGCGGUGGGAUUAUCCAGAAGGAACUCCCAACGGAGGUAGUACCACUCUCCCCUCCGCACCUCCUCCGGCUUCAGCCAGCCUGAAGUCGCACCCUGCUCCUCCUGAGAAGUAGUGAAAUAUAUUUCACCCACCCCAAACCAGUUUAUGAGGGAUUGCAGUAUGAAUCCAUUUCAUUGGUGCAUUCAUAAAAUAGUUCACCCAGUGAAGACAACGAAGAUUAUUUACAAUGCUAUCCUGCUAUUUCCGAUGUCCUGCACCUGGAACUUGUAAUUUUUAAGUCAACUUAUGAUGUAAUCAGAGGGAUUUCACUUCCUGAAUUUGGAUGAAUUCUAGGACAUGCACAAGAUCAUUUUGUAAACCUCUAAGAUUGUAGAUCCAUGGCCUGGAUCAUGGUGAACUCAUCAAAGCAAAUAAUGCCUGUAAGAUCGUCCUGCAGCAGCCAAUCAAUGUUCUCUUUUGGUGACACCUAGUCCUUGAUGUAUAACUGUAAAUUCCUAUAAAUUUAUUAAGGUCCCAAUAAAUUUUGUCUCUAACUGAUGUGUUACAUCUAUAUGACUACUAGCUAGUAAAUUGUGAAUUUUAAAUAAAUAUUUUCUAAGAACUCCAAAUAUAAAAUAUUAUUAAAAUUGGUGUCAAAAUAUGA